Molecule: ribosomal RNA, 301 nt
Filed under: uncultured bacterium
Lineage: Bacteria
Description: partial 16S ribosomal RNA
Rfam family: Bacterial small subunit ribosomal RNA
Source: RNAcentral
CAGCCGCCACGGGAAUACGGAGGGUGCAAGCGUUAAUCGGAAUUACUGGGCGUAAAGCGCACGCAGGCGGUCUGACAAGUCAGAUGUGAAAUCCCCGGGCUUAACCUGGGAACUGCAUUUGAAACUGUCAGGCUGGAGUCUUGUAGAGGGGGGUGGAAUUCCAGGUGUAGCGGUGAAAUGCGUAGAGAUCUGGAGGAAUACCGGUGGCGAAGGCGGCCCCCUGGACAAAGACUGACGCUCAGGUGCGAAAGCGUGGGGAGCAAACAGGAUUAGAUACCCGGGUAGUCCCUGUCUCUUAUAC